This 1272-nucleotide ribosomal RNA is filed under the name Escherichia coli. Its description in RNAcentral is "partial 23S ribosomal RNA". It matches the Rfam family "Bacterial large subunit ribosomal RNA", at positions 612 to 1869 of the family's 2925-position model. The record is from RNAcentral. Lineage: Bacteria; Pseudomonadati; Pseudomonadota; Gammaproteobacteria; Enterobacterales; Enterobacteriaceae.
AUAAUGGGUCAGCGACUUAUAUUCUGUAGCAAGGUUAACCGAAUAGGGGAGCCGAAGGGAAACCGAGUCUUAACUGGGCGUUAAGUUGCAGGGUAUAGACCCGAAACCCGGUGAUCUAGCCAUGGGCAGGUUGAAGGUUGGGUAACACUAACUGGAGGACCGAACCGACUAAUGUUGAAAAAUUAGCGGAUGACUUGUGGCUGGGGGUGAAAGGCCAAUCAAACCGGGAGAUAGCUGGUUCUCCCCGAAAGCUAUUUAGGUAGCGCCUCGUGAAUUCAUCUCCGGGGGUAGAGCACUGUUUCGGCAAGGGGGUCAUCCCGACUUACCAACCCGAUGCAAACUGCGAAUACCGGAGAAUGUUAUCACGGGAGACACACGGCGGGUGCUAACGUCCGUCGUGAAGAGGGAAACAACCCAGACCGCCAGCUAAGGUCCCAAAGUCAUGGUUAAGUGGGAAACGAUGUGGGAAGGCCCAGACAGCCAGGAUGUUGGCUUAGAAGCAGCCAUCAUUUAAAGAAAGCGUAAUAGCUCACUGGUCGAGUCGGCCUGCGCGGAAGAUGUAACGGGGCUAAACCAUGCACCGAAGCUGCGGCAGCGACGCUUAUGCGUUGUUGGGUAGGGGAGCGUUCUGUAAGCCUGUGAAGGUGUGCUGUGAGGCAUGCUGGAGGUAUCAGAAGUGCGAAUGCUGACAUAAGUAACGAUAAAGCGGGUGAAAAGCCCGCUCGCCGGAAGACCAAGGGUUCCUGUCCAACGUUAAUCGGGGCAGGGUGAGUCGACCCCUAAGGCGAGGCCGAAAGGCGUAGUCGAUGGGAAACAGGUUAAUAUUCCUGUACUUGGUGUUACUGCGAAGGGGGGACGGAGAAGGCUAUGUUGGCCGGGCGACGGUUGUCCCGGUUUAAGCGUGUAGGCUGGUUUUCCAGGCAAAUCCGGAAAAUCAAGGCUGAGGCGUGAUGACGAGGCACUACGGUGCUGAAGCAACAAAUGCCCUGCUUCCAGGAAAAGCCUCUAAGCAUCAGGUAACAUCAAAUCGUACCCCAAACCGACACAGGUGGUCAGGUAGAGAAUACCAAGGCGCUUGAGAGAACUCGGGUGAAGGAACUAGGCAAAAUGGUGCCGUAACUUCGGGAGAAGGCACGCUGAUAUGUAGGUGAAGUCCCUCGCGGAUGGAGCUGAAAUCAGUCGAAGAUACCAGCUGGCUGCAACUGUUUAUUAAAAACACAGCACUGUGCAAACACGAAAGUGGACGUAUACGGUGUGACGCCUGCCCGGUGC